UGGCGUGCCAGUUAUAUAUUUUUAAAUUAACAUAUGCUGUCAUAUGUCUUGUGUUAUGUUUGAGUCCUGUAGCUGCUUUUUAUGGUUGUAUUUGUUUGUAUGCAUGCUGUGUUAUAUUGUGUAUGAGCAGUUCAUGGUAUUGUGUGUGUUACAUAUGCAUGCAGGAUGAGUGCCAUAUUAUGUGUGUAAAUGUGGACUGUGGGGGCUGCUUACGAGAUUGUGUGUGGGGGUUAUAUGUCAUAUUGUGUGUGAUGUUGUGUAUAUGUAUGGGGUCUGCGUGGGGUACUCUAUUUAGGAGGCUGCUUGUGGUGUUGUGUACGAGCAUGAUGGUUGUCAGUAGUGUUGCAUUUGUGGGGGCUGUGUGUGUUUACACGUGGGCUGUUUGCAUUAUUUUCAUAUGGUGGAGGCUUCUUCUGCAGCUAUGUCUGCUCUGGCUGUGUGGGUGGCUUCCCUGGGGUCAAGUGGGAACCUGACUCGCCAGGUACAGGGCAAGGGCUGGUGCUGCAGCUAAUCCUCUAGUGCAGAUUCCCCUUCACGAGCAAUAGGAAACAGUGAUCCGAGAUCACCUCCUCCAAGAACUGCAAUGAGUAAUGUGAGGAUUGUCU
Molecule: non-coding RNA, 605 nt
Organism: Pelobates cultripes (western spadefoot toad)
Lineage: Eukaryota; Metazoa; Chordata; Amphibia; Anura; Pelobatidae
Source: the annotation of a GenBank genome assembly